GUGCUUCCUUCAGCAGCACAUAUACUAAAAUCGGAACAACACAGAGAAGAUUAGCAUGGCGCAUGGCCCCUGCACAAAGAUGACAUGCAAAUUUACAAAGCAUUCCAUGUUUUU
Molecule: small nuclear RNA, 114 nt
Filed under: Zalophus californianus (California sea lion)
Lineage: Eukaryota; Metazoa; Chordata; Mammalia; Carnivora; Otariidae
Also listed under: 1 other name
Source: RNAcentral